Molecule: long non-coding RNA, 429 nt
Filed under: Rosa chinensis
Lineage: Eukaryota; Viridiplantae; Streptophyta; Magnoliopsida; Rosales; Rosaceae
Description: sRNA RchiOBHm_Chr7g0237901
Source: RNAcentral
AGGAGCAUAAGGUUGGUUUGCUUGAAGUGUUUAGUGUGUUUUACAGGUUUUUGGGUAGUCCAUUUUAGAGGUGACUCUGCCGAAUUUUUGGUAGAGUUAUCCCUAAGGUGGGCCCCACAGGGCCACCUCGGUUAUGGUUUUGUUGUAUUUGAGUGUCUGAGACGAGCGACAAUAGCUUUGGGCUGUCUCUAGAUGAUAUGAUUGCUUCGGGAAUCAGGAUUGUGGGUAGAAAUGGACUUGGUAAUAAUGGUGGUUUUGACUUUGAACCAAGUUUCGGGAAAGAUGUUUUGUGAUGUGAUUGGUUGUUAAGUAGCAUUUGAAAUAUUAUUGGAAGUUUUUGGUGGUUCUUUGGGAACCUCAGUGUUGGAAACCAUUUACAGAGAAAAUUGAAUAAUUAUUCUGGGUUGUUAUGGCUAGAGUCUUUGUUUU